Molecule: ribosomal RNA, 497 nt
Filed under: Maladera sp. 835086
Lineage: Eukaryota; Metazoa; Arthropoda; Insecta; Coleoptera; Scarabaeidae
Description: partial 16S large subunit ribosomal RNA
Rfam family: Bacterial large subunit ribosomal RNA
Source: RNAcentral
UUUAAGGUCUAAUCUGCCCUAUGAGGGAAUUAAAUGGCCGCGGUAUUUUGACCGUGCAAAGGUAGCAUAAUAAUUAGUUUUUUAAUUGAAAGCUGGAAUGAACGAUUGGACGAGAAAAUAACUGUCUCAAUUUUAUUUUAUUAGAAUUUUAUUUUUAAGUAAAAAAGCUUAAAUAUUAUUAAAAGACGAGAAGACCCUAUAGAGUUUUAUAUUUAAUUAUUUAUUGGUUUUUAAGUUUUAUUUUAUUAAUAUUUAAUUAAUUAUUUCAUUGGGGUGAUGGAAAAAUAUUAUUAACUUUUUUUAAAAAUUAAACAUUAAUUUAUGGUUUUAUGAUCCAUUAUUUAUGAUUAUAAGAUUAAGUUACCUUAGGGAUAACAGCGUAAUUUUUUUUUAGAGUUCUUAUCGAAAAAAGAGAUUGCGACCUCGAUGUUGGAUUAAAAUUAAUGUUUGGUGUAGAAGCUAGAUAAUUAGGUCUGUUCGACCUUUAAAAUUUUACA